RNAcentral lists this ribosomal RNA (253 nucleotides) under uncultured bacterium. Its description in RNAcentral is "partial 16S ribosomal RNA". It matches the Rfam family "Bacterial small subunit ribosomal RNA", at positions 524 to 776 of the family's 1533-position model. The record is from RNAcentral.
UACGGGGGGGGCAAGCGUUGUUCGGAAUUACUGGGCGUAAAGGGCUCGUAGGUGGCCAACUAAGUCGGACGUGAAAUCCCUCAGCUUAACUGGGGAACUGCGUCCGAUACUGGAUGGCUUGAGUUUGGGAGAGGGAUGCGGAAUUCCAGGUGUAGCGGUGAAAUGCGUAGAUAUCGUGAGGAACACCGGUGGCGAAGGCGGCAUCCUGGACCAACACUGACACUGAGGAGCGAAAGCCAGGGGAGCAAACGGG